AGCACUAAUGAUGUAAAGGAUGAUCAGAGUUGAUGUGCAGAUAAAUGAUGUGUGUUUCCUCUGCAGGUGAAGCUAGAAAGUGUGUGUGAGCUGAUGUGAAUUCAGCAGCAUGGAUCAGUGUGAGGACAGACAGGAGGGAGUCCCUCCCUCUAAAACCACUCAGUGUGGGGAAGAUGAGAGCCAGAGCAAAGGUCAGAGGAUCCAUCAGAGACUCAGACCAGAACCAGAACCAGAACCAGAACCAGAACCCAGCUGUGUGUCCUUUAAGAGCAACAGGUCAAAGGGUCGUCUCAUUGACUUUAAAUCUCCUGGAUCUCCACCAUCAGAGAGGAUUGAUCAGAGA
Poecilia latipinna (sailfin molly) is the source of this 343-nucleotide long non-coding RNA. RefSeq lists it as uncharacterized. Lineage: Eukaryota; Metazoa; Chordata; Actinopteri; Cyprinodontiformes; Poeciliidae. The record is from RefSeq and is a predicted model, not a curated record. The transcript is spliced from 3 exons.